Molecule: long non-coding RNA, 197 nt
Organism: Lonchura striata (white-rumped munia)
Lineage: Eukaryota; Metazoa; Chordata; Aves; Passeriformes; Estrildidae
Source: RefSeq, a predicted model, not a curated record
GGGGCGGGGCCGGGGCCGAGCGGGAAUGCAGGGACGGCCCCGGAGGCUCCCCAGGGUGGAAGGGAACAUCCAGCCUGAGCUUAGGCUGAUGCAAAGAGGAAUUUGAAGGCUCCACUGCUGCUGUACCUGAGAAAACUUAGCCACACUUUCAACCAUUGCUUCAAGGCUCAAAAGAUGGGGCUGGAAAUGUUUCCAAA